RNAcentral lists this long non-coding RNA (1254 nucleotides) under Homo sapiens (human). RNAcentral's name for it is "HSALNT0379137". The record is from RNAcentral. Lineage: Eukaryota; Metazoa; Chordata; Mammalia; Primates; Hominidae.
GGCUCUGUCUCAAAAAAACUAAAACAAAAAAACCAUGGAACCAGCAGAGUGUCUCAGCAUCAUCAGCUGUCUGAUAGGUGAGAGCCCACUUGGAGCCAGAGAUGGGGAGGGCUAUUGUGCUAGCUUGCUGAGGGCUGAGUCGGUCCUUGGCCUUGACAGAAGGGGCCGGCAGAGGGGCACUGCAGGAAGCCAGCAAGCAGGAGGCCUCACUCAGCCUUGGAUGGGGCAGAGAGAUCGCCAAGAAGGCGCAGUAAGGAGCUGUCUGCCUCCCGAGAGGGUUUUGGGUGAGGACAGACUUUGAGUCUGUCUUGAGGAGAGUGGGGGGGAAGCAGGAGGAAGAAUGGGGAGCCACCACUUACUCUAUGUCUAUUGAAUGCCAAUUCUUCAUAUAUGUAGCAGUCCUGCUAAGUAGUGGUUAUUACGCCUAUUUUUCAGAUAUGGAAGCUGAGGCUCGCAGAAGUAUAGUGGCUCAUCUGGAGUCACAGCCAGAAAACAGAGGCACAGGAAUGUGAACACAGGACCCAGGAUCAGUAUACCUGGAGCCUGGCCCACCGCACACAGUAAAAACCACAGGAGGGCAGAGGAGGGGGAGGUCACCACAACCCUUGGUGCACGACCACCCACAGGAAUACAGAGGUCUCUUUUCACUGUGCUGGCAUGGCUCAUGAUCAGUCAGUAUACAGGAGACACAGACCCUCCCACAGUGCCCCUUCCACGUUCACAGCAGACAUUGCUAAUCAAUCACAGCAUGCCUCCAAGCACCAACACCAACAAUCAGGGUUGGUAGACUGGAUGGACCAAUUCGCCAUCCUGGGCUAGUUCUUUGAUUUUAGUGGCUGAACUGUUCAAUGCAGCAGCCACGAGCCACAUAUCGUUACGGGGUGCCUAAAAUGGAACUCACAUCUAAAGUGCAUUUAAGUACAAACAGCAUGUUGGAUUUCGAGACACAGUCUAACAAAAAAAAAAAAUGUGGCUUACGUUCGGUUUCCGUUGGACAGCGCUGGUCUCGAGUUCAAGCUGUGCCAACAGCGCCCCUGGUGGCCGAAGUGGGUAAAUUCAUCUGACCAAGGGCCUGUUUUUCUACUGGAGACCCUGCGCAGGUUACUCCACGGUUCUGCACCUGUUUCCUCAUCUGUGAAAUGGGGACAAUAAUAGUUCCUAUCUCAUAGAUUGCAAUUCAGGAAUAGAUGAGUUAAAAUAUGGAAAGUAUGUGAAGCAGCACCUGGCACCGUAAUAAACGCUGAGUGACAGUUG